Molecule: ribosomal RNA, 647 nt
Filed under: Leucoinocybe sulcata
Lineage: Eukaryota; Fungi; Basidiomycota; Agaricomycetes; Agaricales; Porotheleaceae
Description: eukaryotic LSU rRNA
Rfam family: 5.8S ribosomal RNA (bases 242-395)
Source: RNAcentral
AUCAUUACUGAAGAAAUGUUAGGGUUGAGCUGACUCUUUGGAGUAUGUGCUUGCUCUAUCACUUUUUCCUUCUCCUCCUGUGCACCUUUGUAGGCUACAAUAAACUGUACUAUUCUAAAAAUUGUGAUUGAGGAUGUUGCGCUAAACACACACGUCCCUUGCCUUUUGUAAUCUACGUUUUAUAAACUUCUGAAAUCCAAAAUGGUAUAAUUGGUCUUGAUUGACCAAUAAAAUGAUAUACAACUUUCAACAACGGAUCUCUUGGCUCUCCCAUCCAUGAAAAACGCAACCAAAUGCCAUAAAUAAUGGGAAUUGCAAAAUUCCAUGAAUCCUCCAAUCCUUGAACGCACCUUGCACCCUUUGGUAUUCCCAAAGGUACCCCUGGUCCAAUGGCAUUAAAUUCUCAAACCUUGAAUUGGUUUUUGCCCACUUUCAAGGCUUUGGAUGUGGGAAUUGCUGGCCUUUCAAUAAGUUCAGCUCUUCUUAAAUGCAUUAAUGGGUCUACUGGUCCCCUUUCAUCUGGUGUGAUAAUUAUCUACGCCUUUGAAAAGACCUCCUGUAACUGCUUUCUAACUGUCCAAUUAAUUACGACUACUUAUCAAAUAUUUGACCUCGCAUCAGGUGCGACUACCCGCUGAACUUAAGCA